AUUGAACGCUGGCGGCAGGCCUAACACAUGCAAGUCGAACGGUAACAGGAAGCCUCUUGCUGCUUUGCUGACGAGUGGCGGACGGGUGAGUAAUGUCUGCGAAACUGCCUGAUGGAGGGGGAUAACUACUGGAAACGGUAGCUCAUACCGCAUAACGUCGCAGGACCAAAGAGGGGGACCUUCGUGCCUCUUGCCAUCUGAUGUGCCCAGGUGGGAUUAGCUAGUAGGUGGGGUAACGGCUCACCUAGGCGACGAUCCCUAGCUGGUCUGAGAGGAUGACCAGCCACACUGGAACUGAGACACGGUCCAGACUCCUACGGGAGGCAGCAGUGGGGAAUAUUGCACAAAGGGCGCAAGCCUGAUGCAGCAAUGCCGCGUGUAUGAAGAAGGCCUUCGGGUUGUAAAGUACUUUCGGCGGGGAGGAAGGGAGUAAAGUUAAUACCGUUGCUCAUUGACGUUACCCGCAGAAGAAGCACCGGCUAACUCCGUG
Molecule: ribosomal RNA, 490 nt
Filed under: uncultured bacterium
Lineage: Bacteria
Description: partial 16S ribosomal RNA
Rfam family: Bacterial small subunit ribosomal RNA
Source: RNAcentral